CCCCUGGCAGUCUAGUGGUCAGGAUUUAGCACUUCCACUGCCAUGGCCCAGGUUCAAUCCCUGGUCUGGGAA
This is a non-coding RNA of Bos taurus (domestic cattle), 72 nucleotides long. The record is from Rfam. Lineage: Eukaryota; Metazoa; Chordata; Mammalia; Artiodactyla; Bovidae.